GAAAUUUACAAGACGAAUAAAAAAAUUAAAAAAAAAAUAAAAACAUCUUCAUCUAUUGAGCGGUUUGUUGGCGAUAGAGUGAGCGUGGCAGCAUUUGGAAACAAACUUGCGUUCCUAAGAUCGAGGCGUUAGCCAGACAGACGGGCGGACAAACGGAUAUGGCCAGUAUUCUUAAUCAAUUCUGCCCUUCAGUUUGGCAAAGAGAGAGAAAGUUGAAAUUAAGUAAACAGCAUGCGCUGGGCAAGUUUGUCUAUUUGAACGCUUAUAAACCGCCCAAA
Molecule: long non-coding RNA, 278 nt
Organism: Drosophila santomea
Lineage: Eukaryota; Metazoa; Arthropoda; Insecta; Diptera; Drosophilidae
Exons: 2
Source: RefSeq, a predicted model, not a curated record